GAAACAAUAGUUCAAAGAGAAUUUAUGAUUUGCAUUCAUAAGAUGUAAUUAUUUACUUGUUUCA
RNAcentral lists this transfer RNA (64 nucleotides) under Calocaris macandreae. RNAcentral's name for it is "tRNA-Ala". It matches the Rfam family "tRNA". Rfam says of the family: Transfer RNA (tRNA) molecules are approximately 80 nucleotides in length. The record is from RNAcentral. Lineage: Eukaryota; Metazoa; Arthropoda; Malacostraca; Decapoda; Axiidae.